GCCAGCUUAGCUCAGUUGGUAGAGCAGUUGACUUGUAAUCACCAGGUCGCCGGUUCGACUCCGGCAGCUGGCUCCA
RNAcentral lists this transfer RNA (76 nucleotides) under Lentisphaerota bacterium. Its description in RNAcentral is "Lentisphaerae bacterium (feces metagenome) tRNA-Thr". It matches the Rfam family "tRNA". Rfam says of the family: Transfer RNA (tRNA) molecules are approximately 80 nucleotides in length. Their secondary structure includes four short double-helical elements and three loops (D, anti-codon, and T loops). Lineage: Bacteria; Pseudomonadati; Lentisphaerota. The record is from RNAcentral.